Apis florea (little honeybee) is the source of this 1578-nucleotide long non-coding RNA. The record is from RefSeq and is a predicted model, not a curated record. Lineage: Eukaryota; Metazoa; Arthropoda; Insecta; Hymenoptera; Apidae.
AAUUUGUCCAUCACUUUCUUCUUUCUUUUUUCUAGAAAUUUCUUUAAAUUUUCCGUUCGAAGUCCGGGGAGAAUAAAAAUCGGAAAUCGAUCAAUCAAGAAUUUGGUUCGCUCACCGAAACUUACGCAAUCCGGGCCAGGCUCUAUCGGAUCCAAUAUCAAUUACGGGACGGUUGCAUACGACAUAUCGGAAGAAAUACAACGUAUCCGCGUUUCGUGCCGGGCAUACGUGCACGUAUGCGCCGAGAUAAAUGCCGUGGCGCGCGUUUAAUCGGUCGCACAAGUAGAAAGAGUAAUUUCGAAAGACUCGGGGAGGGAGUAGGAGGCACGUGCCAGUGGUGCGCGCGUGCGCUCGACGCACGGUGGCACUCGGCUAUUUUCGAAGAACGUGAUAUAAGUCCCGAUGACGUUCGUGCCCGUUCAAUGUGUACGUGCGUCCCUGUCUAGAAAUUACCAUUGCCACUUCCCUCGAUCGCGGCCAGCCGGUUUUAAUGACCUUUCGACAAGCGAUACGCGUCACGAGACUAAUCGCCUCUCCCCGGGAAAACACCGCGCCGGCAUUGUUCCUUAUCGGCGCUCGUUCACGAUCCGGCCACGAUUUCGUGUCUGACCUCAUCCAUUGUUUACUCCUUCCUUACUUUUCAUUAAUUUUCCUUUUUCCACCGAACGCGCUCGUACGCGCUUCGACAUUCUCGAUCGAACGCUUCACGCUCUCCUCUUCCUUCUACGCUAUUGGAAAGCAACUAUUAUUAUUAUUAUUAUUAUUAUUAUUAUUAUUAUUAUAUCUUAAUGUUCGAUGCGAUCCCAUUGUUCGGAAUUGCAAAAUUUCUUCCUAAUCCCUGGGAAAAAUAUUCGAGCGGAGAUAAUAAUUCGACGGGCCGGGGGUCGAAAUUCGCGCAUUUCGAAAAGGAGGGGAGCGGAGGGAGAGAGGAGAGAAAAAAAAGAGAGAUCGAGGAGGAAGAUCGAAGAAAGGAGGGAAAAACAGUGGAUGACAGUGCAGAAAAAUCCGAUCGAUCCCCGGAGCGGCGGUCGGGGUGGGGGAUCCGCGCGAGGCAAGCCGCCACGGCCGUCGGUUCAGAUCCGCUCAGGAGGGGGUUCUAACCCUGGGUGGGGGCUCUUAAAGGCAACCGGGUGCCGUCCGACCGUCGGAAUUCGGGUGGUGGAAGGGAAGUCCAGGUUAACCGUCACGCGCUAUCCCCUCCCCUGACGGCUGGUCGCCCCCACCCUUAAGGUGGCAGCGCCUCCGCCGGGCAUUCCAUCGGGUGGCACGCUUCGACGAGACGACAGAAGACGUUCGUCGUUCGUACGCUCGGUCAGUCGUGCUCUGACGCCCGUUCCGAGUGGUCGGAGUUCAGUGAGGCGAACAACAGAGAGGAAAAGAGAGAGAGAGAGAGAGAAAAGAGAGAGGAGGAUACGAGAGGCUGCAUGUCCGUAUGUACGUGUGAUUGUGUUAAUUUAUAUUUAUAUCGAGUGCAGAGAAACGAAAUUUAUAAUUCCUCUCUAUCGUGAGAAUAGAAAAAGAUCGACGCUUAUCAUUGCAAGAGUAUCAAAUAAAUAUUGAUCUCUUUGUCAAAACUUA